This 4045-nucleotide long non-coding RNA is filed under the name Mus musculus (house mouse). RNAcentral's name for it is "long non-coding RNA chrX:159534484-159538529". Lineage: Eukaryota; Metazoa; Chordata; Mammalia; Rodentia; Muridae. The record is from RNAcentral.
GAUUAAAGGCAUGGGCCACCAACACCCGGCGCACAGAAGCAUCUUGAAGCACAAAAAUUUUAAAUGUAAACUUUUGGAGCUGGGGAAAAUGGCCCAGUCAGUAAUACUUGCUGUGGAAUCAUGAGAACUGGGGUUAAGAUCCCUUGUACCUGAAUAAAAAGCCAGCAGCAAAGUAUUUAUCUCUAAUUCCAGCUCUCAAGAAACAGACAGGAGAGUUUCUGAGGCUGGCUAACCAUUCAGAUAAGCUGAAAUGGUGAACUUCAGGUGGUAUAAAAGAUUCCUGUCUUAAAAAAAAGUUACGUAGAGAGCUACUGAAAAAGAUCUAUUUCUCUGCUCUUCUUGGGCAUACACACACACACACACACACACACACACACACACACACACACAAGGACAUACAUAUUUCUAAAAGGUCUAGUUUUUGAAAUCUAUUCUGGGGCUAGGUAUGGAAUAGCAUUGGUAGAGUACUUGUCUAGCAUGUUUGAAGCCAUGAUUUGUAUUGCCAGAACUCAAAAGGUAAAGACAAAAAGAUUGCAAAAUCAUGUGUGAGGUGUGUGUUUCUUGCAGUGCUGUGAAUUGAGCUCAGGAUUUCCUACAUGCCAGGUAAUCACUUUGUACCAGUUUAGCUGUAUCACUAGCCCUCAGUUUUUUUGUUUUUUGUUUUAGUUUUUUGUCAAGCAGGAUGCCACUGCUUAGCUCAUGUUUGCCUCAGGCUCUUGAGUGUUUGGAUUACAGGUAUGUGGGACAAAGUUUGGUUGAGAAGCAGAAGUUUGAGGCCAGUCUAGGCACUAUUAAGACCUUGAUUUAAUUUUUUUUUCAAGACAGGCUUUUUCUGUGUAGUUCUGGUUAUCCUGGAACUCACUCUGUAGACCAGGUUAGCCUCGAACUCAGAAAUCCACCUGUCUCUAAGACCCUGUUUUAAUAGGUGUAGUGGGCCAUGCCUUUAAUUCCAGCACUAAGGAAUAGACAUAGGCAGAUAGAUCUCUCUGUGAGAUUGAGGCCAUCCUGAUCUACAUAGUGAGCUCCAGAGCUAUAGAGUGAGACCCUGUCUUGAAAUAACAACAGCAAAACAAACAAACAAACAAACAAACCAAAAAAGGACUCAUUUUCAAAGACUCUUAAGUGAUACUUUUUGGCCCUACACCAUACUCUUUCAUACUCAAGUUUGAACUUUAAGUUGUUUUUCAUAGUGUAUACUGUGUACAUUGAACAUAGCUCCCUUUUUGUUUGUUUUUUGACACAGGGUCUUAUUUAGAUCAACUUGACGCAAAUUUAUAGUCCUUUUACCUGACCCUCCUUCGUGCUGGAAUUCUGGGAUUAUAGGCAUAUGUCACCACACCUAAAUCACUUUUCUUUUUUUUUAAAGAUUAAUUAAUUUAUUAUAUGAAAGUACACUGUAGCUGUCUUCAGACACACCAGAAGAGGGCAUUGGAUCUUGUUACAGAUGGUUGUGAGCCACCAUGUGGUUGCUGGGAUUUGAACUCCGGACCUCUGGAAGAGCAGUCGGGUGCUCUAACCCACUGAGCCAUCUCACCAGCCCCUAAAUCACUUUUCUUUCUUCCCUUCAUUCUUUUCAUGUGACAGGAUCUCACUUAGUCCAGACUGGCCUCAAACUCAGUGAGCAUCACCUAGAUUUUUCAUCAUCUGCCUCUAUAUCUUAAAUAUUGGGAUUUUAGGCAUGUGUACAUCACACUUGGUUUACACCAGUGGGUCUCAACCUUCCUAAUGCUGUAACCCUUUACUACAGUUCCUUAUGUUAUGGUGAUCCCCCCAACAUAAAAUUAGUUUCCUUGCUACCCCAUAACUGUAAUUUUGCAACUGUUAGGAAACAAAAUGUAAAUAUCUGUGUUUUCUGAUGGUCUUAGGGGAUCUCUGUGAAAAGGUCCAUUAAAGGGGUUGUGACUCACAGGUUGAAAACUACUGAUUUAUAUGGUGCUGGGGACUGAAUUUAUGGCUUCGUGAAUGCUAGACAAACACUGUACUAAUUAAGCAGCGUCCUGGGCCUUCUUCCUUUGUUAUUUUAUUUUAUUUUUUGUUUUUUUUUGGGGGGGGGUUUGUUUGUUUGUUUGUUUUUUGAGACAGGGUUUCUCUGUGUAUAUCCCUGGCUGUCCUGGAACUCACUCUGUAGACCAGGCUGGCCUCGAACUCAGAGAUCCGCACCUGCCUCUGCCUCCCAAGUGCUGGGAUUAAAGGCGUGCGCCACCACCGCCCGGGAUGUUAUUUUAAUUUUUUAAUCUUGUAACUGAACACAUAUUUAUUCUUUAACUUUUACUGAUAAAUAUGUUUACCACAGUGAGUGUGUAUAUGUGUUGUAUGUGUGUAUUCAUUCAUGUCAGUGUUUUCCUUGGUUGUUGUCUAUCUUAUUUUUAAAUGUUUAUGUUUUAUUAUUAGAGUGUGGGAGGGUAUGCACGUGUGUGUGCUGGAACACACGUGGAGGUCAGAAAGCUUUGUGGAAUCAGUUCUCUCUGCCUUUACAUGGAUCUGAGAGAUCAACUCAGUUUCCAGGCUCGUGUGCCAAGAGUCUAUCUGCUGAUCUAGCUCAUUGUCCUGUGCCUUGUUUUUGAGACAGCGUGUGUUGGAUUGGCUGGCCAGCAAAUGCCUUUCCAGCCCAGGGGUUACAGUUGUGCUGCUGUCUUAGCUUGUUUGGAGGGAAUAGGGAUCUGAACUCAGGGCCUCUUGCAUGGUGAAGGCUUUACUGUUGGGUCUGUUCCUUCAGCCUCCUACAAGGAGUAUUUGACUGGUCAUUGUUUUUAAUGCAUCUCAAAGAAUUUGAUUAUUUAGGCUUUGUGUCUGUACGCACACACACAAGACAGGGUUUUACUCUAUAGCCAGGCUGACUUCAGACUAACUGUAAAGCCUGGCUUAAGAUUCAUAGCUAUCCUCCACCUUCCAGCCUCCAAAGUGCUGGGAUUCUAGGUGUAAGCUGCUGCACUUGGCUUAACUUUUACUUACUUUUUUUUUUUUUUUUUUACUUUUAAAUAAACAGCUCUUUAGGGCUGGAGAGAUAGAUGACUUGGCAAUUAAGAACAUUUGUUUUCUUGUAGAAAACCUGGAUUCAGUUCUCAGCACCCACAUGAUUGUUCACAAGUAUUGAAACUCCAGUUCCAGGAUAUCUGAUGAUUUUUUUUUUUGGCCUUAGUGGGCACCACAUGCACAAAUAAUACAAUACAGAACAUACAUAUAGACCAAUACUCAUAAACAUAAAGUAAAAAAAUAAAUAAAAAGAUGCACUAUUUCACAUGUAUUGUAUGUGUGCAUAUAUAUAUAUAUACAUAUAUAUAUGUAUGUAUAUAUAUGCAUGUUCAUGGCAUAGCAUGUAUGUGGAAGAAAGAAAGACUUGUAGGCUCUUUAAAAAACACAUGGGUUCUAGAGAUCCAACUUAAGUCAUUGUGCUUAUAUGGCAAGAAGUUUUACCUACUGAGGUAUCUCCCCAGCCUGUAAGCACAUAAGUAUUUUUGUUUUAGUGGCCUAUCUUUGUAUUUGGCUCUUUCUAUUGUGUUUACUUUUCAAAUACUUUACCCCUUGUGAUCAAAGUAAGAAUGAUAAGCAAAAGUGGAGUGCUGUGUGCACUUAAUGACUCUUCCUUACUGAAGAACUGGUGAGAAGGUAACACACGCUCUGUGACAAUGAGAAUAAUCCAUGCCUGGUCUCCUCACCUCUGCUUGCUUUCCCCUUUCUUCUGAGCUCCUUACUGAUUGCCCUCUUAUUCCUGUGCUCUUUUGCUGCAAAGGGUUUCCUGGGGAAUUUUUAUUCUUUGAAUUUGUAAAUACUUGAUUUGCAUUUAGUGUGGAAUCUUUUUGCAUAAUGUACCCAUCUUAAGUGUAGAGUUCAGCAUUUUUAGUAUUUUGAUACAAUUGUGCAAACAUGAUCAUAAGUCUAAUUCCAGCACAGUUCUUCCCCCCCAAACGUUCUGUUGGGUGUGGUGCUAGAUGCCUGGAAUCCCAGGAUUGGGCUAUAUAUGGAGGGAGGGUCAGGAGAUGAGGGUCAUCAUCCUCACAGCCUGGUGUACAGAGUGAGUUCCAGGACUACACAGAAAUGUUGUCUG